AUUGAACGCUGGCGGCAUGCUUUACACAUGCAAGUCGAACGGCAGCGCGGGCUUCGGCCUGGCGGCGAGUGGCGAACGGGUGAGUAAUACAUCGGAACGUGCCCAGUAGUGGGGGAUAGCUCGGCGAAAGCCGGAUUAAUACCGCAUACGACCUGAGGGUGAAAGCGGGGGAUCUUCGGACCUCGCGCUAUUGGAGCGGCCGAUGGCAGAUUAGCUAGUUGGUGGGGUAAAGGCCUACCAAGGCGACGAUCUGUAGCUGGUCUGACAGGACGACCAGCCACACUGGGACUGAGACACGGCCCAGACUCCUACGGGAGGCAGCAGUGGGGAAUUUUGGACAAUGGGCGAAAGCCUGAUCCAGCAAUGCCGCGUGUGCGAUGAAGGCCUUCGGGUUGUAAAGCACUUUUGGCGGGAACGAAAAGGACUGUGCCAAUACCACGGUUCGAUGACGGUACCCGCAGAAUAAGCACCGGCUAACUACGUG
Molecule: ribosomal RNA, 484 nt
Filed under: uncultured bacterium
Lineage: Bacteria
Description: partial 16S ribosomal RNA
Rfam family: Bacterial small subunit ribosomal RNA
Source: RNAcentral